CCCUUAGAUGCUCUGGGCCGCACGCGCGCUACACUGGUCGAUGCAACGAGUUUCUUUCCUUGGCCGACAGGCCUGGGCAAUCUUUGAACAUCGAUCGUGAUCGGGAUAGAUUCUUGUAAUUUUUGAUCUUAAACGAGGAAUUCCUAGUAAACGCAAGUCGUCAGCUUGCAUUGAUUACGUCCCUGCCCUUUGUACACACCGCCCGUCGCACCUACCGAUUGAAUGGUCCGGUGAAAUCUCCGGACUGGCGUGAGUCGGAGCAAUCUGACAAACGCCGGAAAGUUGAUUAAACCUUACCAUUUAGAGGAAGGUGAAGUCGUAACA
Molecule: ribosomal RNA, 324 nt
Filed under: uncultured eukaryote
Lineage: Eukaryota
Description: partial 18S ribosomal RNA
Rfam family: Eukaryotic small subunit ribosomal RNA
Source: RNAcentral